This is a non-coding RNA of Paramuricea clavata, 272 nucleotides long. The record is from the annotation of a GenBank genome assembly. Lineage: Eukaryota; Metazoa; Cnidaria; Anthozoa; Malacalcyonacea; Plexauridae.
GAUUUCUUGCUAAUCGAAGGACAGAAAGUAAUAAAAAACGGCGGCUUUUAUUGUACUUGACCGAGUUUGAGCGAUGAUGUUUGUACAAAUAUACAAAUAUAAACAGUAAUAAUGGCGGACACCAAAGGGCUUACACACUUAAUGGACAAAUAUUCUUCCAAAGAUCGGUUAAACAAACGAAAUAACAAGAAUCAUCGCUCAAACUUCGGUCAAGUUGUGCAACAAAAGCCGCCGUUUUUUAUUACUUCCUGUCCUUUGAUUAGCAAGAAAUC